Molecule: long non-coding RNA, 491 nt
Organism: Gorilla gorilla gorilla (western lowland gorilla)
Lineage: Eukaryota; Metazoa; Chordata; Mammalia; Primates; Hominidae
Exons: 4
Source: RefSeq, a predicted model, not a curated record
UGGCAACAGAGGACAACAGCGAACAGCAGCACACCGCAAUACAUUGAUCAUCAAGACAGUGAAGUAUACCAUAAUCGUAAGGGCUUGCCAUGUCUCCCGAGCAUAGAAUCCUGAUGGACCUAUGAUGUGUUCCCAACUGACUUCAACAAGACUCAAAGCAAGCACAAGGUAAGGUGAGCUAUGCCAGAGAAUCAACCCUGGAAUCUUAUUCAACUCAGAUUUAUGACCGGCCCACUUAAGAUUCCACUGUGGGUGAGGAGACCCUCCUUUACAGCUUUCCACUCACUCUGGGGUCCAGAUUGCAUUUCUACAGAAAGUGUAGCACCUCAGAACACUCCACUUCAAGCCACAAGAGAGGAAAGGGUGUGCUAAAAUCUCACACCAACUCUUAACUGACAAUGACCUGGUCACAUGAUCCCAUCUUAACCAAAGGGAGGCUGGUAAAAAUCUUUUAUGCGUACCCAGGACACGAGCCAGAAAAUGGCACCAAC